GUUUAUGAUGAUCUUCCACUUUUCACGACGGUCAACUGUUUCAUCCUUAACUUGUUUGGUUUAGGAAUGUUGAUGAUAAUCUGCCCGUGACAGGGCGUGGUACUGAGC
Molecule: small nucleolar RNA, 108 nt
Rfam family: Small nucleolar RNA snR73